CUUAUCGCGAGUGACGGAGGGAUGGGCCCGAUGAAGUCACGGCAACCGGCGGUUUCUCCGCAUGGUGCCAAAUCCCCCAGCCUUCCCUGAAAAGGGGCAGACGGCUGACAGAUAAG
Molecule: non-coding RNA, 116 nt
Filed under: bovine gut metagenome
Description: SAM riboswitch (S box leader)
Rfam family: SAM riboswitch aptamer (S box leader)
About the family: The SAM riboswitch is found upstream of a number of genes which code for proteins involved in methionine or cysteine biosynthesis in Gram-positive bacteria. The SAM riboswitch acts at the level of transcription termination control.
Source: RNAcentral